GAUGAAGAACGCAGCGAAAUGCGAUAAGUAAUGCGAAUUGCAGAAUUCAGUGAGUCAUCGAAUCUUUGAACGCAUAUUGCGCCCUUUGGUAUUCCAUGGGGCACACCCGUUCGAGCGUCAUUACAACACUCAGGCACUGCCUGGUAUUGGGAGUUCGCCCGUAAAAGGGCGCUCCUCAAACUCUUCGGCGUCGCCGUUCCGUCCUCGAAGCGCAGCGAGAAACAACUUUCCAGCGUGAUCGAGGCGGGCCGUGACCGCCAAAAGUAAUUUUGUCUUUACCGUUUGACCUCGAAUCGGGUGGGGAUACCCGCUGAACUUAAGCAUAUCCAAUAAGCGGAGGA
This 341-nucleotide unclassified non-coding RNA is filed under the name soil metagenome. RNAcentral describes it as "partial contains 5.8S ribosomal RNA, internal transcribed spacer 2, and large subunit ribosomal RNA". The stretch from base 1 to 120 matches the Rfam family "5.8S ribosomal RNA", at positions 35 to 154 of the family's 154-position model. The record is from RNAcentral.